AUACGUAGGGAGCGAGCGUUGUCCGGAAUUACUGGGCGUGAAGGGCGCGUAGGCGGCGCUUCAAGUCGUCUGUCAAAUGGGAGGGCUUAACCCUUUUUCGCAGACGAAACUGGAGAGCUUGAGAAGCAGAGAGGCAAACAGAAUUCCUGGUGUAGCGGUGAAAUGCGUAGAUAUCAGGAAGAAUACCAGUGGCGAAGGCGGUUUGCUGGCUGCAUACUGACGCUGAAGCGCGAAAGCCAGGGGAGCGAACGGGAUUAGAUACCCCGGUAGUCCUGGCAGUAAACGAUGUAUGCUGGGUGUGAGACUAGCGAUAGUUUCGUGCCGAAGUUAACGCGAUAAGCAUACCGCCUGGGGAGUACGGUCGCAAGAUUGAAACUCAAAGGAAUUGACGGGG
Molecule: ribosomal RNA, 394 nt
Filed under: uncultured bacterium
Lineage: Bacteria
Description: partial 16S ribosomal RNA
Rfam family: Bacterial small subunit ribosomal RNA
Source: RNAcentral